RNAcentral lists this ribosomal RNA (771 nucleotides) under Graphium eurous asakurae. Its description in RNAcentral is "small subunit ribosomal RNA". Lineage: Eukaryota; Metazoa; Arthropoda; Insecta; Lepidoptera; Papilionidae. The record is from RNAcentral.
UUCUUUCUAGAAACACUUUCCAGUACCUCUACUUUGUUACGACUUAUUUCAAUUUAUUAAUGAAAGCGACGGGCAAUAUGUACAUAUUUUAAUUUAUAAUCAUUUUAUUAAAUUAAAUAAAAUUACAUUUAAAUCCACCUUCAAAUAUUUAUUUCAAAAUAUUAUUCAUUUAAUUAUAUUUAUUAUUGUAAUCCAUCAUAUUCUUAAUUAUUAUCUGCAUCUUGAUCUGAAUUAAUUUUUUAUUUUAAUUUUUAAAUAUUAUUUUUAUUAAAAAAUAUUUUUUUAACAACGAUAUACAAAAUUAAAUAUUAAGUAAAUUUAUUCGCGGAUUAUCAAUUAUUAGACAGAUUCCUCUAAAUGAACUAAAAUACCGCCAACUUAUUUAAGUUUCAAUAAAUUAUUAUAUACUAUUUUAGUUUUUAUUUUUAAUUUUUAAUAAUAGGGUAUCUAAUCCUAGUUUUUUAUAAAAUCUUAUAAAACAUAAUAUUAAUUUAAAAUUUACAUUAAAUUAAAAUUUCACCUAAUAAUUUAAUAUUUAAUUUUUAAUUUAUUAUUAAUUAUUAACUAAUAAAAUUUAAAUUAUAUUUUGUAUAACCGCAACUGCUGGCACAAAAUUUGUUUAUAAUAAAAAUAUUACUAAAUCUUAAUUUCUUAAAUUUUUAAUAUUAAUUACUACUUCUAUUAUAUAAUAUUUUUAAAAUAACAUAAAAUUCAUACUAAAAUUUAUAUGUAAAAUAAAUUUAAAUUAAAUUUAAUAAAUCAUAAUAUUUA